GAGUUUGAUUCUGGCUCAGAUUGAACGCUGGCGGCAUGCUUUACACAUGCAAGUCGAACGGCAGCACGACGUGUAGCAAUACACGUUGGUGGCGAGUGGCGAACGGGUGAGUAAUACAUCGGAACGUGUCCUGUAGUGGGGGAUAACCAAUCGAAAGAUUGGCUAAUACCGCAUACGAUCUACGGAUGAAAGCGGGGGAUCGCAAGACCUCGCGCUAUAGGAGCGGCCGAUGUCCGAUUAGCUUGUUGGCGGGGUAACGGCCCACCAAGGCGACGAUCGGUAGCUGGUCUGAGAGGAUGAUCAGCCACACUGGAACUGAGACACGGUCCAGACUCCUACGGGAGGCAGCAGUGGGGAAUUUUGGACAAUGGGCGCAAGCCUGAUCCAGCCAUGCCGCGUGAGUGAAGAAGGCCUUCGGGUUGUAAAGCUCUUUCGACGGGGACGAAACGGUCUGUGCCAACACCACGGACUAAUGACGGUACUCGCAGAAGAAGCACCGGCUAACUACGUGCCAGCAGCCGCGGUAAUACGUAGGGUGCAGGCGUUAAUCGGAAUUACUGGGCGUAAAGCGUGCGCAGGCGGCUCCUUAAGUCAGAUGUGAAAGCCCCGGGCUUAACCUGGGAACUGCGUUUGAUACUGAGGGGCUAGAGUGUGGAAGAGGGGGGUGGAAUUCCAGGUGUAGCAGUGAAAUGCGUAGAGAUCUGGAGGAACACCGAUGGCGAAGGCAGCCCCCUGGGCUAACACUGACGCUCAUGCACGAAAGCGUGGGGAGCAAACAGGAUUAGAUACCCUGGUAAUCCACGCCCCAAACGAUGUCAAUUGGUUGUCGGGGAAGUAAUUCCUUGGUAACGAAGCUAACGCGUGAAGUUGACCGCCUGGGGAGUACGGCCGCAAGGCUAAAACUCAAAGGAAUUGACGGGGACCCGCACAAGCGGUGGAUUAUGUGGAUUAAUUCGAUGCAACGCGAAAAACCUUACCUACCCUUGACAUGUGCGGAACGGGGUAGAGAUACCUCGGUGCCCGAAAGGGAACCGCAACACAGGUGCUGCAUGGCUGUCGUCAGCUCGUGUCGUGAGAUGUUGGGUUAAGUCCCGCAACGAGCGCAACCCUUGCCAUUAGUUGCUACAUUCAGUUGGGCACUCUAAUGGGACUGCCGGUGACAAACCGGAGGAAGGUGGGGAUGACGUCAAGUCCUCAUGGCCCUUAUGGGUAGGGCUUCACACGUAAUACAAUGGCCGGUACAGAGGGCUGCCAACCCGCGAGGGGGAGCAAAUCCCAGAAAGCCGGUCGUAGUCCGGAUUGUUCUCUGCAACUCGAGAGCAUGAAGUCGGAAUCGCUAGUAAUCGCGGAUCAGCAUGUCGCGGUGAAUACGUUCCCGGGUCUUGUACACACCGCCCGUCACACCAUGGGAGUGGGUUUCACCAGAAGUAGUUAGCCUAACCGCAAGGAGGGCGACUACCACGGUGAGAUUCAUGACUGGGGUGAAGUCGUAACAAGGUAGCC
This 1503-nucleotide ribosomal RNA is filed under the name uncultured bacterium. Its description in RNAcentral is "bacterial SSU rRNA". It matches the Rfam family "Bacterial small subunit ribosomal RNA". The record is from RNAcentral.